AGUGAUCCCGUGUUGGCUCUGUAGUAUAAACUGCACUCAUCAGAUUGGACACAAGCAGUGAUCAGAUCUGUCUGUCAGUAACUGAAACUGGGUCAGAUUCUGUUUGCUGCAGAGAGCUAAAUCCCAAAAAGUUAAAUUUCUACUCCAGCUCUGAUGAAUCUGCAAGUUCUGAUAACGAUGGCCGCAGGACAAGAUACAAAGCUGGACCCAAGAAUGGAACCAGUGAUAUGGGAAGGAGCCAAGCACCUUU
RNAcentral lists this long non-coding RNA (250 nucleotides) under Linum usitatissimum (flax). RNAcentral's name for it is "long non-coding RNA (LUSI_LNC000589)". Lineage: Eukaryota; Viridiplantae; Streptophyta; Magnoliopsida; Malpighiales; Linaceae. The record is from RNAcentral.